UUUGUGCCCCUUACCCUCUCGUACUAUGUGCUAUACAAAUAUCAACGUCAUUGUAAGACCCACUAAAAUGUAUUACUUGGCGACGUGUGUAACAACUACGAACGUAUGCCACGUCCGAAUCCAUUGUUCCGGUAGUCGAUAUCGCGUCGUCUCAAAGAAGUUCAGAAGUUUCAGUGGUAGAACCUUGCUCUUGCUUCGGUAGGAUAACCUUUAAGGCCAGAGUCUUCGAGCCAGCUUUAGUUGAAACCACACUAUUUGUUUCAUCGGUGUCGUGAGGGUCCGUCUUUCUGUCGUCGGUCACUGGUCUAAAA
Molecule: ribosomal RNA, 311 nt
Filed under: Triticum aestivum (bread wheat)
Lineage: Eukaryota; Viridiplantae; Streptophyta; Magnoliopsida; Poales; Poaceae
Description: partial small subunit ribosomal RNA
Source: RNAcentral